AAAAAAAAAACAACUUCAAAAAGAGGGAGCACAUAAAAGUAACGCCUCAUACCCCUCCACCGACUCACCAGCGAAUUCUACAAGCGCUCUCUAGUGGCAACCGACAUCCCCACGCACAGCACCCUCACACCAGCCACCGCUGUCAUCAUCCCCAGCCCCUCUUCCACCACUGCCACCCUCUCUCUCUGCUGCUCAAUCACCGAUGCUACCCCUGCCACGAAGAAAUCCACGCCGCCAAUAACCUUUACCUCACUGACCGCAUCGAGCAUCCGGGACCACCCCACGUAGACCCUGUAGAACGGGGCUGCUCCGCUGCCACUGGCACACAAUCCUUCACAGAGAGGGUGGCGGCGUCGAUGGAGGGAGGGGGGAGAAGGCUGCUACGGCGAUGGCGGAGGAGAUGGCGACAUCGUCGGAGGAGAGGAGGGGUUGGGGGUUGGUGUUAAAGGAAAUCACAGAAGCAAUCUAAGAACACACAAGAACUCAAAUGAUUAGGAAUCAGAGAGAGAGUAUUAUU
Molecule: long non-coding RNA, 517 nt
Filed under: Elaeis guineensis (African oil palm)
Lineage: Eukaryota; Viridiplantae; Streptophyta; Magnoliopsida; Arecales; Arecaceae
Description: long non-coding RNA (EGUI_LNC023188)
Source: RNAcentral